CUGCGGUUCCCAAGAUAGCGCGCCCCGGCCUGGCGGCGCGCCAGAGCGGCGGGCGGCUGCCGAUAAGGGCCCGCUAUAAAGGGAGGCCCCGUGCGCCCAGAAGCCCUUUGGUGGUCUGCGCUCCCGUGGUGGCUCUCCUGGAUGGUUCGCUCUCUUCCUGGAUUACUGCUGUGCGCAUCGUGGCCCGCUCUCGUCCGCGGAUAUACGGACACAUUAGCUGCCCCGCUCUUUCACUGUCCCUGCCGUCGAGCACUUAUGACCUCCCUUCUCGAACGUCACGGUGCCCCGCUUCGUUGCUCCCAAUGGACCUGCGCAGCUAGCUUCUCUUCGGCUAUACAACCGUAACAAUAACCGGCGAAAUGUCAGGACCGUAACGCGAGCCGGCACAAACGUUCCGGCCGCUACGCUAACUGUCGACAACCUUUUCUUUGCAGCGUCGUUCUGCAUUCCGCAUGGUUCCCACCACUCGCUGCCUGUUGCUUCCGUCGCCGCCGUUUGACUCGCUGCAUUUCACGGUAUGUGUCACGUCGCGGAGGGUGGGUCAGUUGCAGCGUUUGACGCGGCGUCAGUGUAAAACAUGGCUUCGGUUUUAAACGCGACGGAGGUGGAGCAUUCGUGUCGUGCCUCUCAAGAGCCAGCCUGUUGGCUUGGCCACUGAGAGAUCGCACUGUCGGCAAGAAUGAAAUUAACGUGGUACAACAACGAAAGGCAGUGCAAGAGGCCAUCUGAGUGACGUACUACGUGUGUAUACUAUUUCCGGGAAAAGUUGGCCGUGAUGCGGAAAGGCUUGCGUAACAGCAGCGCAAUGUGUUUCGCCAAGUCACAGUGUCGAUGUAUUUCUCCCUAAAAUGACGGACAGAUAUGGGGCAUGUUAUUCGGAGUGUUCCGGGCGGCUCUGCCGUCGAGAUAAUUGAUACGUGAAACCUGAUACAGAUGGCAUGCCGAUUGGUCUUGUGUCGCUUUUUUUCCUCCGAGGCGCCGUACUCUGUAACGAUACUCGUUUUCUGUCAAUUUUGCUCUUCGUCAAUGCGGCUGGCAUUGCAUCGCUGAGCCUUCGGAAGCGACGUGCUGUUUUUAGACCCCACUGAGGAAGCGCGCAGCAUCAAGCCGCAGGCUGCAUAGCGGCGCCUUUCUUUCUUUGGGCGACCUUAGCGGCGCCCUCGCGGAGCCGGCGCGGAAGAACUGCGCCGUCGAAACCAAGGCCACCGCUGAUAACACGACGUCGCGUGGGUCGCGUCACGAUCGCUUCGGGGGUGGCAGGGUUAUCAGCGGACCUUUCGGGAGGUCGAGUGAACGAACCGGAGUGAAGCACGCGCCUCUGGACGAUAAGCACGGACCACGCGGAAGAUACAUGCGCUGCUGCGUCACUGGAAACAAACAAGGCUCGCUAAUUCGGGAGCUGCUGGCAUCGAGAGCUUUCCCGCCGCUGCUACUCCAGGCCCAGAUGAUCGCACUAGACUGACCGAGCCUAUCGCAGUUGACGAGGGCAAACGAACGUACCGAGGAGCUCGUACGGAAAACCCACGCUUUAAAAACGGCCCUUCGUAGCACGCGUGCGUCACAAAUAAAGAAGAGUCCGAAUGCUCUAUCGCGCCUUUUUCUUCUUUCUUUCCUUGUUUUCUUUCUUUUCACGCACGCGGCGCGAAAUGAUUCGAAUGUCAUAGCGUCUUGCUGCAGCAUUUUUGCGCGAGGGCGUUUUCCUAACAGCCUGUUUUCAGUACAGUAAACCUAUUAGCGGCAAGGAUUUUGAGUGGCGCCCUCUUACGAGGGACGUCACGGCCAGGAUGGCGCUCACUCCGGCUCGCUCGGCAGCCAUCGAACUUAAACUACAGAUAGCGGCGGAUAUGGUGGAAGAGUAUGCGGCCAGCAUAGACUUGGUGUGCUCGCCACAUAAAUCGGAGCUGUUAAUCAUUGAGCCAAAACAUCAAAGAGGACACGCUGGGAGCAGCAGACCCAUCAAUGUUUUCGUAAACGGAAAUGAGGUUCCCAAGGUGGAGAAAAUCAGAAUUCUGGGCAUGUAUAUCCAGAGAAAUGGAUGCAACCUCACGACAAUCAAAAAGCUAGAAGGAUAUGCGGCGCAGGUCACGGGGAUCUUUAGGAGAAUUUUACUCAAAGGCAGGGGCCUCAAAGAGAACAGCCUCCUCAGACUCAUGCAAGCCUUCAUUACCAGCCGUAUAGCGUAUGCCACACCGUAUCUUGUGUUUAAACGAGAAGAAAAGGAGAAAAUAGAUGUGAUCAUUAGGAAGAGCGUUAAGAGAGCCCUAGGGCUCCCAGACUCGACCUCGACAGACCUCCUCCUCUAAAUGGGAGUUCACAACACGCUAGGAGACGAAAAGUUGCGAGACCGGUUUGCAAGUCCAGUUCACCGGACCGGACUGCGGAGAAAAGGCACAAGAGCGCCACAAGGACUGAUGAACGACGCCCAGGAAUCUACCAACUACGAACCAAGGGUUCGACACCCCUGAGGGAAAUUCUGCUUCUGAAAAGCUGAUUCCUCUCUCAGUGGAUCCUGGUCCCUACGCGUCGGGAUCUUCCUCUCCCGAUGGAGAUGCUGUUACGCUUGGCGUGUAACACCCCGGGCAAAUAGGAUGCUCCACCACCAUGCCUCAUCGAAACGAAGGGUGGAUUCCUAAUUUGCUGUGGUUGACUCGAGUGGUUACCUGUCUGGCAGGUGCACCGCAGUACUUACAGGCCCCUUCGUAUUUGUACAUGCCUAAGCGAAACGAAGAGUGGAUUCCUAAUUUGCUAUGGUUGUCUCGAGUGGAUGCCGGUCUAGCUGACGCUCGCAGUGUUCACAGGCCCCUUUGUGUGUGUGCGUGAAAACCCUUUCCGCGAACCAGCGACGCGCGAAAAAGAAGGGAUCAGCUGCCUACGAUCACCAGGACCCGCGAGUUGCCACCAGCAGAGGCAAGCUCGGGAAAAAACAUCGUGAAAGUGAAAACAUUGUGAAAGUGGGUGCCGCCGCCAAGCACCGUAGGAAUCAGUGCAUGUCACGUGACGUUGACGUAAGCAAGGUCCCGCCUACCAUUUUAGUGGUCCUAUUUAAAGGGCCCCGUAAUUUACUUUUUCACUUCAUUCUCUUCUUAUCUUUCACCAACCAUUGAAUAAACCCUACAAGUUUCGCACUAGAA
Molecule: non-coding RNA, 3131 nt
Organism: Dermacentor andersoni
Lineage: Eukaryota; Metazoa; Arthropoda; Arachnida; Ixodida; Ixodidae
Source: RefSeq, a predicted model, not a curated record